UACAGAGGUCUCAAGCGUUGUUCGGAUUCAUUGGGCGUAAAGGGUGCGUAGGCGGGUUGCCAAGUCUGUGGUGAAAUCCUCCGGCUUAACCGGAGAACUGCCGUGGAUACUGGCGACCUCGAGGGGUGUAGGGGCUUGCGGAACUGUGCGUGGAGCGGUGAAAUGCGUUGAUAUGCACAGGAACUCCGGUGGCGAAAGCGGCGAGCUGGACACCUUCUGACGCUGAGGCACGAAAGCCAGGGGAGCGAACGGG
This 253-nucleotide ribosomal RNA is filed under the name uncultured bacterium. RNAcentral's name for it is "partial 16S ribosomal RNA". It matches the Rfam family "Bacterial small subunit ribosomal RNA", at positions 524 to 776 of the family's 1533-position model. The record is from RNAcentral.